RNAcentral lists this ribosomal RNA (386 nucleotides) under uncultured Rhodoferax sp. Its description in RNAcentral is "bacterial SSU rRNA". It matches the Rfam family "Bacterial small subunit ribosomal RNA", at positions 996 to 1382 of the family's 1533-position model. The record is from RNAcentral. Lineage: Bacteria; Pseudomonadati; Pseudomonadota; Betaproteobacteria; Burkholderiales; Comamonadaceae.
UCCUUUAGAGAUAGAGGAGUGCUCGAAAGAGAGCCGUAACACAGGUGCUGCAUGGCUGUCGUCAGCUCGUGUCGUGAGAUGUUGGGUUAAGUCCCGCAACGAGCGCAACCCUUGUCAUUAGUUGCUACAUUCAGUUGGGCACUCUAAUGAGACUGCCGGUGACAAACCGGAGGAAGGUGGGGAUGACGUCAAGUCCUCAUGGCCCUUAUAGGUGGGGCUACACACGUCAUAUAAUGGCUGGUACAAAGGGUUGCCAACCCGCGAGGGGGAGCUAAUCCCACAAAGCCAGUCGUAGUCCGGAUCGUAGUCUGCAACUCGACUACGUGAAGUCGGAAUCGCUAGUAAUCGUGGAUCAGAAUGUCACGGUGAAUACGUUCCCGGGUCUU